CGUGAGGGAAAGGUGAAAAGAACCCCGGGAGGGGAGUGAAAUAGAACCUGAAACCCUAUGUUUACAAGCAGACAAAGCACGUUAAGGUGCGAUGUCGUACUUUUUGUAGAACGGUCCGGCGAGUUAUUUUAUAUGGCAAGGUUAAGUACUGAAGGUACGAAGCCGAAGGGAAACCGAGUGUUAAUAGCGCGUAAAAGUCAUAUGAAAUAGACCCGAAACCGAGUGACCUAACCAUGUCCAGGAUGAAGCUUGAGUAAAAUCAAGUGGAGGUCCGAACUCAUAGACGUUAAAAAGUCUCGGGAUGAGGUGUGGUUAGCGGAGAAAUUCCAAUCGAACUCGGAGAUAGCUGGUUCUCCUCGAAAUAGUUUUAGGACUAGCCUUGAGAGAAUAAUGCGCGGGGGUAGAGCACUGAAUGAGCUAGGGGUCAAACCUGAUUACCGAACUCUAUCAAACUCCGAAUACCGUGUAGAGGAAACUCAGGAGUCAGACUGCGGGAGCUAAGUUCCGUGGUCAAAAGGGAAAGAGCCCAGAUCGUCAAAUAAGGUCCCAAAGAUAUAGUUAAGUGGAAAACGAUGUGAUUUUGCGUAAACAACCAGGAUGUUGGCUCAGAAGCAGCCACCCAUUUAAAGAGUGCGUAAUAGCUCACUGGUCGAGUGAAGUUGCGCGGAAAAUUACCGGGGCUAAGCUAUACACCGAAAUUGCGGAUUUACAUUUGAAAGACAAUGUAAGUGGUAGAGGAGCAUUCUGUAGUAGGAAGAAGCAUGACCGUAAGGACAUGUGGACGAAGCAGAAGAGAGAAUGCUGGAAUAAGUAGCGAGAGGAUGGUGAGAAUCCAUCCCGUCGAAAAUCUAAGGUUUCCCAGGGAAGGUUCGUCCGCCUGGGGUAAGUCGGGACCUAAGGAGAGGCCGAAAGGCGUAUCUGAUGGAUAGCAGGUUGAAAUUCCUGCACUACGAAUAUACUUAAAAGAUUCAAGGGACGCAGAAGUGGAAGAUAACCAAGUAAGAGGAAAAGCUUGGCUCGCAAGAGGGAGUGAAAAUUAAAAGUAACGAAGUAUCAAGAAGCACGCUGACGAGAAAAGCUUGAAGAUAUUGUAUAUAAGUACCCGUACCGCAAACCGACACAGGUAGAUGAGGAGAGGAUCCUAAGACGAGCGGGAGAAGCAUUGUUAAGGAACUCGGCAAAUUAACCCCGUAACUUCGGAAUAAGGGGUGCUGAUGUAACAGUCAGUCGCAGAGAAAAGGCCCAAGCAACUGUUUAACAAAAACAUAGGUUUCUGCUAAAUCGAAAGAUGAAGUAUAGGAGCUGACGCCUGCCCAGUGCUGGAAGGUUAAGGGAAAGAGUUAGGGUUAAACCGAAGCUUAGAACUGAAGCCCCAGUGAACGGCGGCCGUAACUAUAACGGUCCUAAGGUAGCGAAAUUCCUUGUCAGGUAAGUUCUGACCCGCACGAAAGGCGUAAUGAUUUGGGCGCUGUCUCGACAAUGUCCCCGGCGAAAUUGUAGUACUAGUGAAGAUGCUAGUUACCUGCGAUAAGACAGAAAGACCCCAUGGAGCUUUACUGCAGUUUGAUACUGGGUUUCGAUGAUUUAUGUACAGGAUAGUUGGGAGACUAUGAAAGAGAGGCGUCAGCUUCUCCGGAGUCAUUGUUGGGAUACCAACCUUAAGUUAUUGAAAUUCUAACUUGUAAUCGUAAACCGGUUAGAGGACAAUGUCAGACGGGCAGUUUGACUGGGGCGGUCGCCUCCUAAAGAGUAACGGAGGCGCCCAAAGGUUUCCUCAGCGCGGACAGAAAUCGCGCGAAAGAGUGUAAAGGCAGAAGGAAGCUUAACUGAGAGACAGACAUGUCGACCAGAUACGAAAGUAGGGCUUAGUGAUCCGGUGGUUGUAAAUGGAAAUGCCAUCGCUCAACGGACAAAAGUUACCCUGGGGAUAACAGGCUUAUCUCCCCCAAGAGUUCACAUCGACGGGGAGGUUUGGCACCUCGAUGUCGGCUCAUCACAUCCUGGAGCGGAAGUACGUUCCAAGGGUUGGGCUGUUCGCCCAUUAAAGUGGUACGCGAGCUGGGUUCAGAACGUCGUGAGACAGUUCGGUCCUUAUCUGUCGCAGGCGGAGGAUAUUUGAAGGGAGUUGGCCCUAGUACGAGAGGACCAGGCUGAACGAACCGAUGGUACACCAGUUGUCUCACCAGAGGCACAGCUGGGAAGCUAAGUUCGGAAGGGAUAAACGCUGAAAGCAUCUAAGUGUGAAGCCCACCCUAAGAUAAGAUAUGCCAUACCGUAAGGUAGU
Molecule: ribosomal RNA, 2284 nt
Filed under: human gut metagenome
Description: bacterial LSU rRNA
Rfam family: Bacterial large subunit ribosomal RNA
Source: RNAcentral